UUCUGUUUGUGGCCCUCAGCAAGUAACUCAAGAAAUUUGUCUUUAAUCUCAAGAAGUGGGUCUCGAUCUAUCAGCUCACCAUCCUUGUAUGCUUCCCUAAGCAUUGCAGUUUUAAUCCCACACUUCAACGAAGUAUAGAAUAUCCCCGAAUGCCGAGUAAAUACAUUUGAGAAUGCGUUUGAGAACCUAUACUCAUCACUAAACUUGCCUAAAAUGGGAAUGG
Molecule: unclassified non-coding RNA, 223 nt
Filed under: Hevea brasiliensis (rubber tree)
Lineage: Eukaryota; Viridiplantae; Streptophyta; Magnoliopsida; Malpighiales; Euphorbiaceae
Source: RNAcentral